This 255-nucleotide ribosomal RNA is filed under the name uncultured bacterium. RNAcentral describes it as "partial 16S ribosomal RNA". It matches the Rfam family "Bacterial small subunit ribosomal RNA", at positions 524 to 776 of the family's 1533-position model. The record is from RNAcentral.
UACGAAGGGGGCUAGCGUUGCUCGGAAUUACUGGGCGUAAAGCGCACGUAGGCGGAUGUGUCAGUCAGGGGUGAAAUCCCGGAGCUCAACUUCGGAACUGCCCCUUGAUACAGCACGUCUUGAGUCCGGAAGAGGUGGGUGGAAUUCCUAGUGUAGAGGUGAAAUUCGUAGAUAUUAGGAAAGAACACCGGUGGCGAAGGCGGCCCACUGGUCCGGUACUGACGCUGAGGUGCGAAAGCGUGGGGAGCAAACAGG